AAUAAUGCGUUGAUGAAGAGUAGUAGCAUUUGAAGGAGUUUUAGAGAGCCGAUGGGUGGUGGGAAUCGGUACGAUUUCAUUUGUGAAUGGACUUCGGAGUUGCCGAGCAGAACGUGAGUUAUUCAGUAUGCUUUGGUCGAUUUAGCCAAUCGUUAAAAUAGGCUGACAGUUAUUUCCAUAGUCUGUCAUAAAGUGGAUUGCUGAAUUCAGCAAUCAAUUAAGGUGGUACCGCGGGUCUCUCGUCCUUUUU
RNAcentral lists this non-coding RNA (250 nucleotides) under Bacillus sp. (in: firmicutes). RNAcentral describes it as "Bacillus sp. T-box sequence". It matches the Rfam family "T-box leader". From Rfam's summary of the family: Uncharged tRNA acts as the effector for transcription antitermination of genes in the T-box leader family. T-boxes are found upstream of many aminoacyl-tRNA synthetase genes and some amino acid biosynthetic genes usually in Gram-positive bacteria. The anticodon of a specific tRNA base pairs to a specifier sequence within the T-box motif, and the NCCA acceptor tail of the tRNA base pairs to a conserved bulge in the T-box antiterminator hairpin. Lineage: Bacteria; Bacillati; Bacillota; Bacilli; Caryophanales; Bacillaceae. The record is from RNAcentral.